UUGACAACCCAGGAAACUAACAUCCUUCCUUUGUCAAUGGAACAGAUGUGUCAUGUAUAUCAGUAGUACAGGCUUCCCCACACUGCCCCACUCUUGUGCUUCAACCCUGUUCUUGAGAGGAUAGUUAAUUCUUCAUAUCGAUUUAAUUCUGCU
This 153-nucleotide small RNA is filed under the name Chrysemys picta bellii (western painted turtle). RNAcentral's name for it is "TUC338 (ENSCPBG00000024021.1)". Lineage: Eukaryota; Metazoa; Chordata; Testudines; Emydidae. The record is from RNAcentral.